This 293-nucleotide ribosomal RNA is filed under the name uncultured bacterium. RNAcentral describes it as "partial 16S ribosomal RNA". The record is from RNAcentral.
GGACUACCGGGGUAUCUAAUCCUGUUUGCUCCCCACGCUUUCGUAUUUCAGCGUCAGUACCGGGCCAGUGAGCCGCCUUCGCCACUGGUGUUCUUCCGAAUAUCUACGAAUUUCACCUCUACACUCGGAGUUCCACUCACCUCUCCCGGACUCGAAGAUCGCCAGUAUCGAAGGCAGUUCCGAGGUUGAGCCUCGGGAUUUCACCCCCGACUUAACGAUCCGCCUACAUACGCUUUACGCCCAGUAAUUCCGAACAACGCUAGCCCCCUUCGUAUUACCGCGGCUGCUGGCAC